AUGGCAGAAUGCUUCAAUAGGGUGCUCAAGGGUGUACAUGCAUUACCCGUGACGGCAAUAGUUCAAUACACAUUUGACAAGAUGAAUGAAUACUUUUUGAAGCACUCAAUGGAGACUGAUAAGCAGAUUGCUGGUGAGAACAAGGAUAAGCACAAGUACAAUUUCCCACCAAAGGUUGAAGAAUGGUUGGAAUUUCAAUCACGAAAGGCAGACUCCGAAGAAGCUGUUCUAUAUGACGACAACGAGUGGAAGUAUGAGGUGAAAGAGCCCGGAGGAACCACAAAUGAUGGCCGCCAGCACGGAGGCCGGGCUUUCAAGGUCUCCCUAACACGGUGCGAUUGCAGCUGCAUGAGGCCGUCUUUGCUUCAUCUCCCAUGCUCGCACUUGUUAAAUGCAUCCCGGGUUAGGAAUGUGGACGUCAAUCACCCUCUAACCGUGAGGGAGUCCGAGUUCUCAAUCAUGACGGUAAAGAAGACAUGGACUCCACGGUUCCAGCCAUACUUGGACCAAUCACAAUGGCCGGAGUAUCAUGGAGUUCAACUAUGGCCGGACCCG
RNAcentral lists this ribosomal RNA (555 nucleotides) under Triticum aestivum (bread wheat). RNAcentral describes it as "partial small subunit ribosomal RNA". The record is from RNAcentral. Lineage: Eukaryota; Viridiplantae; Streptophyta; Magnoliopsida; Poales; Poaceae.